RNAcentral lists this ribosomal RNA (21 nucleotides) under Ficus pleurocarpa. RNAcentral's name for it is "partial 28S ribosomal RNA". Lineage: Eukaryota; Viridiplantae; Streptophyta; Magnoliopsida; Rosales; Moraceae. The record is from RNAcentral.
CCACGCGACCCCAGGUCAGGC